UACGUAGGGGGCAAGCGUUGUCCGGAUUUAUUGGGCGUAAAGAGCGUGUAGGCGGCCAGAUAGGUCCGUUGUGAAAACUCGAGGCUCAACCUCGAGACGUCGGUUGAAACCAUCUGGCUAGAGUCCGGAAGAGGAGUGUGGAAUUCCCGGUGUAGCGGUGAAAUGCGCAGAUAUCGGGAAGAACACCCGUGGCGAAGGCGGCACUCUGGGACGGUACUGACGCUGAGACGCGAAAGCGUGGGGAGCGAACAGG
This 253-nucleotide ribosomal RNA is filed under the name uncultured bacterium. RNAcentral's name for it is "partial 16S ribosomal RNA". It matches the Rfam family "Bacterial small subunit ribosomal RNA", at positions 524 to 776 of the family's 1533-position model. The record is from RNAcentral.